CCUACGGGCCGCAGCAGUGGGGAAUAUUGCACAAUGGGCGCAAGCCUGAUACAGCGACGCCGCGUGGGGGAUGAAGGCCUUCGGGUUGUAAACUCCUUUCAACCAUGACGAAGCGUAAGUGACGGUAGUGGUAGAAGAAGCACCGGCUAACUACGUGCCAGCAGCCGCGGUAAUACGUAGGGUGCGAGCGUUGUCCGGAAUUACUGGGCGUAAAGAGCUCGUAGGUGGUUUGUCGCGUCGUCUGUGAAAUUCCGGGGCUUAACUCCGGGCGUGCAGGCGAUACGGGCAUAACUUGAGUGCUGUAGGGGAGACUGGAAUUCCUGGUGUAGCGGUGAAAUGCGCAGAUAUCAGGAGGAACACCGAUGGCGAAGGCAGGUCUCUGGGCAGUAACUGACGCUGAGGAGCGAAAGCAUGGGUAGCGAACAGGAUUAGAUACCCUGGUAGUC
Molecule: ribosomal RNA, 446 nt
Filed under: uncultured bacterium
Lineage: Bacteria
Description: bacterial SSU rRNA
Rfam family: Bacterial small subunit ribosomal RNA
Source: RNAcentral